GAGUUUGAUCAUGGCUCAGGAUGAACGCUGGCGGCGUGCUUAACACAUGCAAGUCGAACGGAGUUAUCAUUUCAGAAGCAAUUAGCUUGCUGAGAGUGGAAGAGAGGAUAACUUAGUGGCGGACGGGGUGAGUAACGCGUGGGGGAACCUGCCCUGCACCGGGGGGAUAACACUUGGAAACAGGUGCUAAUACCGCAUAAGCGCACGAGGCCGCAUGGCCAGGUGUGAAAAACUAAGGUGGUGCAGGAUGGACCCGCGUCUGAUUAGCUUGUUGGUAGGGUAACGGCCUACCAAGGCGACGAUCAGUAGCCGGCCUGAGAGGGUGAACGGCCACAUUGGGACUGAGACACGGCCCAAACUCCUACGGGAGGCAGCAGUGGGGAAUAUUGGACAAUGGGGGAAACCCUGAUCCAGCGACGCCGCGUGAGUGAAGGAGUAUUUCGGUAUGUAAAGCUCUAUCAGCAGGGAAGAAAAUGACGGUACCUGACUAAGAAGCCCCGGCUAACUACGUGCCAGCCGCCGC
This 523-nucleotide ribosomal RNA is filed under the name uncultured microorganism. Its description in RNAcentral is "bacterial SSU rRNA". It matches the Rfam family "Bacterial small subunit ribosomal RNA", at positions 9 to 518 of the family's 1533-position model. The record is from RNAcentral.